This 484-nucleotide ribosomal RNA is filed under the name uncultured bacterium. RNAcentral describes it as "partial 16S ribosomal RNA". It matches the Rfam family "Bacterial small subunit ribosomal RNA", at positions 30 to 507 of the family's 1533-position model. The record is from RNAcentral.
AUUGAACGCUGGCGGCAGGCCUAACACAUGCAAGUCGAGCGGAUGAAGGGAGCUUGCUCCUGGAUUCAGCGGCGGACGGGUGAGUAAUGCCUAGGAAUCUGCCUGGUAGUGGGGGAUAACGUCCGGAAACGGGCGCUAAUACCGCAUACGUCCUGAGGCAGAAAGUGGGGGAUCUUCGGACCUCACGCUAUCAGAUGAGCCUAAGUCAGAUUAGCUAGUUGGUGGGGUAAAGGCCUACCAAGGCGACGAUCCGUAACUGGUCUGAGAGGAUGAUCAGUCACACUGGAACUGAGACACGGUCCAGACUCCUACGGGAGGCAGCAGUGGGGAAUAUUGGACAAUGGGCGAAAGCCUGAUCCAGCCAUGCCGCGUGUGUGAAGAAGGUCUUCGGAUUGUAAAGCACUUUAAGUUGGGAGGAAGGGCAGUAAGUUAAUACCUUGCUGUUUUGACGUUACCAACAGAAUAAGCACCGGCUAACUUCGUG